GAUGAACGCUGGCGGCGUGCCUAAUACAUGCAAGUCGAGCGAACAGAUGAGGAGCUUGCUCCUCUGACGUUAGCGGCGGACGGGUGAGUAACACGUGGAUAACCUACCUAUAAGACUGGGAUAACUUCGGGAAACCGGAGCUAAUACCGGAUAAUAUAUUGAACCGCAUGGUUCAAUAGUGAAAGACGGUUUUGCUGUCACUUAUAGAUGGAUCCGCGCCGCAUUAGCUAGUUGGUAAGGUAACGGCUUACCAAGGCAACGAUGCGUAGCCGACCUGAGAGGGUGAUCGGCCACACUGGAAGUGAGACAGGGUCCAGACUCCUACGGGAGGCAGCAGUAGGGAAUCUUCCGCGAUGGGCGAAAGCCUGACGGAGCAACGCCGCGGGAGUGAUGAAGGUCUUCGGAUCGUAAAACUCUGUUAUUAGGGAAGAACAAAUGUGUAAGUAACUAUGCACGUCUUGACGGUACCUAAACAGAAAGCCACGGCUAACUACGUG
This 497-nucleotide ribosomal RNA is filed under the name uncultured bacterium. RNAcentral's name for it is "partial 16S ribosomal RNA". It matches the Rfam family "Bacterial small subunit ribosomal RNA", at positions 28 to 507 of the family's 1533-position model. The record is from RNAcentral.